AAGUCUUGGAAGAAAAGGAGACCCACCAAGAGAGGAUCUCCCAUCUGGAGACUAAUCUAGAAGAAUUGAAUGGUCUUUGCGAUGAGAUGAAGCUUAAAUUAGAGGAUUAUCAGGCUAAAGAGGAUUAUAUCAAGGAGAAAGAAGCUGAACUUUUGUCUCUAAAUGCUAAAGCUUCACUGAAUUUUCAAGAAGCUGAAAACUUAACCCUCUCAGCAUCUCACAUGAGAUCUCUUUUUGACAAACUAAAAGAGAUUGAAACACUCAUGGGGCCUGAUGUGGGAGAUGCAGAGGCCUAUGAUUCACCUGAUGUCAGGCGGCUCUUUUAUGUAGUUGAUAAUUUCCCAAGAUUACAGCUCCAGAUGGACUCAUUGUCUCGUGAGAAAAAAGAAUUACAAUCAAGCCUUGAGAAACAGGCACUGCAAAUUGAGAGUUUAAAGGAUGAAGUUGAAGAGCACAUGAGAGAUGAGGUGGACUGUGCAAAGAUGAAG
This 488-nucleotide unclassified non-coding RNA is filed under the name Hevea brasiliensis (rubber tree). Lineage: Eukaryota; Viridiplantae; Streptophyta; Magnoliopsida; Malpighiales; Euphorbiaceae. The record is from RNAcentral.